GUGGGUGUAGCUCAAUGGUGGAGCCCCAGAUUGUGGAUCUGGAUGUUGCGGGUUCGAGCCCCGUCAUCCACC
Molecule: transfer RNA, 72 nt
Filed under: Treponema sp.
Lineage: Bacteria; Pseudomonadati; Spirochaetota; Spirochaetia; Treponematales; Treponemataceae
Description: tRNA-His
Rfam family: tRNA
About the family: Transfer RNA (tRNA) molecules are approximately 80 nucleotides in length. Their secondary structure includes four short double-helical elements and three loops (D, anti-codon, and T loops). Further hydrogen bonds mediate the characteristic L-shaped molecular structure. tRNAs have two regions of fundamental functional importance: the anti-codon, which is responsible for specific mRNA codon recognition, and the 3' end, to which the tRNAs corresponding amino acid is attached (by aminoacyl-tRNA synthetases). tRNAs cope with the degeneracy of the genetic code in two manners: having more than one tRNA (with a specific anti-codon) for a particular amino acid; and 'wobble' base-pairing, i.e. permitting non-standard base-pairing at the 3rd anti-codon position.
Source: RNAcentral